Molecule: ribosomal RNA, 428 nt
Filed under: uncultured bacterium
Lineage: Bacteria
Description: bacterial SSU rRNA
Rfam family: Bacterial small subunit ribosomal RNA
Source: RNAcentral
GAUGAACGCUGGCGGCGUGCUUAACACAUGCAAGUCGAACGAUUAAGACGGCUUCGGCCGUGUAUAGAGUGGCGAACGGGUGAGUAACACGUGACCAACCUGCCCCGCGCUCCGGGACAACCGCUGGAAACGGCGGCUAAUACCGGAUGCUCCGGGGAGGCCCCAUGGCCUCCCCGGGAAAGCCCUGACGGCGCGGGAUGGGGUCGCGGCCCAUUAGGUAGACGGCGGGGUAACGGCCCACCGUGCCCGCGAUGGGUAGCCGGACUGAGAGGUCGACCGGCCACAUUGGGACUGAGAUACGGCCCAGACUCCUACGGGAGGCAGCAGUGGGGAAUUUUGCGCAAUGGGGGGAACCCUGACGCAGCAACGCCGCGUGCGGGACGAAGGCCUUCGGGUUGUAAACCGCUUUCAGCAGGGAAGACAUAGAC